CCCUGAGAAAGGGCUACCACAUCCAAGGAAGGCAGCAGGCACGCACAUUACCCACUCCCGGCACGGGGAGGUAGUGACAAAAAAUAACGAUACGGGACUCAUCCGAGGCCCCGUAAUCGGAAUGAGCACACUCUAAAUCAUUUAACAAGUACCUAUUGGAGGGCAAGUCUGGUGCCAGCAGCCGCGGUAAUUCCAGCUCCAAUGGCGUAUAUUAAAGUUGUUGCGGUUAAAAAGCUCGUAGUUGGUCCUGCGUCCCACGCUGUCGGUUCACCGCCUGUCGGUGCAACUGGCACGCCGUGGGAUGUCCUGCCGGUGGCGGCCGCGGCCCGGCGGGCGGGGCGUAAGACCCGGAACGGGUCCGAAGCUCCCCCCCGGGAUCCGCCGGUCGCCUAUCUAAUCCCGCCGCGGUGCUCUUAACUGAGUGUCGAGGUGGGCCGGCACGUUUACUUUGAACAAAUUAGAGUGCUCAAAGCAGGCUGAGCUCAGCCUGAAUAGUGGUGCAUGGAAUAAUUGAAUAGGACCUCGGUUCUAUUUUGUUGGUUUUCGGAACCCGAGGUAAUGAUCAAUAUGGACAGGCGGGGGCAUUCGUAUUGCGGCGUUAGAGGUGAAAUUCUUGGAUCGUCGCAAGACGCACUAAAGCGAAAGCAUUUGCCAAGUAUGUCUUAGUUGAUCAAGAACGAAAGUUAGAGGUUCGAAGGCGAUCAGAUACCGCCCUAGUUCUAACCAUAAACGAUGCCAGCCAGCGAUCCGCCGAUGUUCCUCCGAUGACUCGGCGGGCAGCUUCCGGGAAACCAAAGCUUUUGGGUUCCGGGGGAAGUAUGGUUGCAAAGCUGAAACUUAAAGGAAUUGACGGAAGGGCACCACCAGGAGUGGAGCCUGCGGCUUAAUUUGACUCAACACGGGGAACCUCAUCAGGCCCGGACAUUGGAAGGAUUGACAGAUUGAUAGCUCUCUCUUGAUUCAAUGGAUAGUGGUGCAUGGCCGUUCUUAGUUGGUGGAACGAUUUGUCUGGUUAAUUCCGAUAACGAACGAGACUC
RNAcentral lists this ribosomal RNA (1037 nucleotides) under Belostoma horvathi. RNAcentral describes it as "bacterial SSU rRNA". It matches the Rfam family "Eukaryotic small subunit ribosomal RNA", at positions 394 to 1343 of the family's 1831-position model. Lineage: Eukaryota; Metazoa; Arthropoda; Insecta; Hemiptera; Belostomatidae. The record is from RNAcentral.